RNAcentral lists this ribosomal RNA (1215 nucleotides) under Triticum aestivum (bread wheat). Its description in RNAcentral is "partial small subunit ribosomal RNA". The record is from RNAcentral. Lineage: Eukaryota; Viridiplantae; Streptophyta; Magnoliopsida; Poales; Poaceae.
AUGCCGCCUAUGUACAAUCCCCGUCGCCCGUCGCCAGUUCGCCAUCCAUCCACCGAUCCCGUCUACUCCUCCUUGACCACGGCGGCGACGCGCGCGGCAAUGGCGAUCUCCUCCGGGCCGGCGGGCGCGGCCACGGCGGCCCCGCGCCGCAGGACCAGGUCGACGGUGCUCCUGAUGGCCAACUACGCGGCGCUUCUGAUCGGGUCCGUCGUCUCCAGCCUGCUCUCCCGGUUCUACUUCCAGCACGGCGGGCAGAACAAGUGGGUGGUCACGCUUGUGCAGUCCGCGGGGUUCCCGACGCUCGUUGUCGCCGUGUUCCUCGCCGGCCGCCCCGCGUCGGCGCCUCGGCCGUUUCUUUGGUUCUCGCGGAGGUUCUUGGCCGUGUGCCUGUUCAUCGGCGCGCUCAUGGGCGUCAACAACCUGCUCUUCGCCUACAGCUCGUCGCUCCUGCCGGUGUCCACCUCGUCUCUGCUGCUGUCCACGCAGCUUGCCUUCACGCUCGUCCUCGCCGUUGCUAUCGUCCGCCAUCCGCUCACCUUCGUCAACCUCAACGCCGUCGUCCUCAUGACGCUCUGCUCCGUGCUCCUCGCGCUCCGGUCGGGCGACUCGGGGGAGAGCCCGGACAGGAAGGGGUACAUCAUCGGCUUCGUCGUCACGCUCGGCGCCGCGGGGCUCUUCUCCGCGUACCUCCCCGUCAUGGAGCUGCUGUACCGGGAGGCGGUCUCCGGCGGGUUCAUCCUGGCGGUGGAGGUGCAGGCCGUGAUGCAGGCCAUGGCGUCCGUCGUGGCGGCGAUAGGACUCGCGGCGACCGGCGGUUUCAGCAACGAUGUGGCCCACUGGAAGGGGUCCCACGCCCUGUACUGGGUCGUGGUUGUGACGCUGGUGGUGACGUGGCAGGCGUGCUUCAUGGGCACCGCCGGCGUGAUCUACCUAACUUCGUCGCUCCACAGCGGCGUGUGCAUGGCAGCGGUGCUCACGGCCAAUGUCAUUGGCGGCGUCGUCGUGUUCGGCGACCCUUUCGGCGCCGAGAAGGCCGUCGCCACCGCGCUCUGCGUCUGGGGCCUCUCCUCGUACCUCUAUGGCGAGUACACCAAGAACAAGAAGAAGGCCGCUGAUGAUCAGGACGACGACACCAUCCUCCCCGGCGCCCGUGACGACGGCGAGCACAAGAGCCUCACCGCCGGCAGCCGCGAGCCGGGAAGCGAAACCGUCUGA